UGGCGGACGGGUGAGUAAUGUCUGGGAAACUGCCCGAUGGAGGGGGAUAACUACUGGAAACGGUAGCUAAUACCGCAUAACGUCGCAAGACCAAAGAGGGGGACCUUAGGGCCUCUUGCCAUCAGAUGAACCCAUAUGGGAUUAGCUAGUAGGUAAGGUAACGGCUUACCUAGGCGACGAUCCCUAGCUGGUCUGAGAGGAUGACCAGCCACACUGGAACUGAGACACGGUCCAG
This 235-nucleotide ribosomal RNA is filed under the name uncultured bacterium. RNAcentral describes it as "partial 16S ribosomal RNA". It matches the Rfam family "Bacterial small subunit ribosomal RNA", at positions 96 to 334 of the family's 1533-position model. The record is from RNAcentral.